Molecule: unclassified non-coding RNA, 281 nt
Organism: Erinaceus europaeus (western European hedgehog)
Lineage: Eukaryota; Metazoa; Chordata; Mammalia; Eulipotyphla; Erinaceidae
Gene: 7SK
Rfam family: 7SK RNA
About the family: 7SK was discovered as an abundant small nuclear RNA in the mid-70s but a possible function has only recently been suggested. Two independent studies have found that 7SK RNA binds the CDK9/cyclin T complex (known as elongation factor P-TEFb). P-TEFb activates transcription by phosphorylating the C-terminal domain of RNA polymerase II.
Source: Ensembl
GGAUGUGAGGGCAAGCAGGUAUGAUAACUCAAGCACAGUUGCUGACCAGGGCUGAUUUGGCUGAUCUGGCUGGCUAGGCAGGUCCCCCAUUUUCCUCACUACUCCAUGUGCUUCUCUGAAGCUGCCGGUUUAUUCCAACUUGAAGCAGAUCUCUCUUCCAUUGAGGGUCUAUGAGUACCUGUGUUUACCUGCUACGACAUUCUAACAAGCUCUCCUGCUCUAGAAGAGAACUGGGAUUCCCUCACCCCAGUACCUAGAAUCUGAAGUGCUAGGGCCUGUAG